Molecule: ribosomal RNA, 253 nt
Filed under: uncultured Aquicella sp.
Lineage: Bacteria; Pseudomonadati; Pseudomonadota; Gammaproteobacteria; Legionellales; Coxiellaceae
Description: partial 16S ribosomal RNA
Rfam family: Bacterial small subunit ribosomal RNA
Source: RNAcentral
UACAGAGGGUGCAAGCGUUAAUCGGAUUUACUGGGCGUAAAGGGCGCGUAGGCGGUUUUGUGAGUGUGAUGCGAAAGCCCCGGGCUUAACCUGGGAAGCGCAUCGCAAACGAUAGAACUAGAGUAGAUGAGAGGGUGAUGGAAUUUCCGGUGUAGCGGUGAAAUGCGUAGAGAUCGGAAGGAACGUCAAUGGCGAAGGCAGUCACCUGGCAUCAUACUGACGCUGAGGCGCGAGAGCGUGGGGAGCGAACAGG